AGCAGCCGCGGUAAUUCCAGCUCCAAUAGCGUAUAUUAAAGUUGUUGCAGUUAAAAAGCUCGUAGUUGAAUUUCGGGAUCAAUACGUUGGUCGUGCUUUCGGGUACGUACUGGCGUCAUUGGUUUCUCUCUUCUGACGAACCAUGAUGUCAUUAGUUUGGUGUUAUGGGGAGUUAGGACUGUUACUUUGAAAAAAUUAGAGUGUUUAAAGCAGGCUCGCGCUUGAACACAUUAGCAUGGAAUAAUGAAAUAGGAUGUUUGAUCUUAUUUUGUUGGUUUCUAGGAUCGACAUAAUGAUUAAUAGGGAUAGUUGGGGGCAUUAGUAUUCAAUUGUCAGAGGUGAAAUUCUUGGAUUUAUUGAAGACUAACUACUGCGAAAGCAUUUGCCAAGGAUGUUUUCAUUAAUCAAGAACGAAAGUUAGGGGAUCGAAGACGAUCAGAUACCGUCGUAGUCUUAACCAUAAACUAUGCCGACUAGGGAUCGGAUGAUGUUAAUUUUUUAAUGACUCAUUCGGCGCCUU
RNAcentral lists this ribosomal RNA (520 nucleotides) under uncultured Glomus. Its description in RNAcentral is "SSU rRNA". It matches the Rfam family "Eukaryotic small subunit ribosomal RNA", at positions 569 to 1089 of the family's 1831-position model. The record is from RNAcentral. Lineage: Eukaryota; Fungi; Glomeromycota; Glomeromycetes; Glomerales; Glomeraceae.